Long non-coding RNA from Harmonia axyridis, 1099 nucleotides. RefSeq lists it as uncharacterized. The record is from RefSeq and is a predicted model, not a curated record. The transcript has 2 exons. NCBI's taxonomy places the organism in Eukaryota, Metazoa, Arthropoda, Insecta, Coleoptera, Coccinellidae.
UAGAACCUGAAUUCCAAUUUAUGAAAUAAUUACUGUAUGCGUCCGUUCGUAACAGUGUUACCAAUGCUACUUCAAUGAGAAAUCCGAAUUCUAUGUCAAAAAUUUUGAAAAAUUCCGUGCCAUCUGAAAAAAAAUCCGCCAGUUCAUAGAACCAUAUAUUAUUUAAAAAACUCAAAAAAUUGGAUAUUUUCCAUGGGCUCGAGUUAAAGAAAACAUUUGACAGGCUCUUUCUGGUUUACAACGAAUGCCCAAUAUUAAUUUAACAAUAUUUGCAAUAUGCAAGACAUAUAUCUCAUUGAUUUUGUUCAAUUCUUAGGUCUUAGGACUGCUGCAUAAAUCCACCAAAAGUUGGCUUGCUAGUGUUAUUUCUUAGUUCUUAGGAAACGUGCUUAAACGCCAUAGACCUAAUUUGAUAUUAGGUCUAUGUUAAACGCCCUCAUUGAUUUGUUAUCGUUCAAUUCUUAGUCCUUAGGUACGGCGCAUAAACUCACCAUUAGUCCUUAGGAAUGGUGGAUAAACCCACCAUAACGCAAAAUAUAUUUGCAUAAGAUUGUAUAAUAUACUACAUACCUAAGUAUUUAAUCGAUUUAACUGGUGUAAAAAACUUUAAAAUUGAAAUCACAAAACUUAUCGUAGUUUAUGUUAUGUUAUUAAAUUGAUAUGUUUUGUCAUUUUCAUGAUAAAAAAUUGGUUUUGGCAGUUGAGGGCUCUGUAGAACAACCAUUUAUUACCAACUCAGAAACUCAGAUUACAAAGUUUUUGGAAAUAUAUGUAGACGAUACACUGAAAUGAAAAGAACAUAUUUUUAAGCUAGGGUAUAGCUUGGCUUUGGACUGUUAUUCCUUAAGUGUACUGACGAGAUAUCUGGAUAAGAUCUCCAUGAAGUUUUGAUAUGGAAUCAUGUUUAUAGGCAUACUCCUGAAGCAAUUCAAAUAUGCAAUCUCCAGAAAAGGGCAUUCAGAAUCAUUCUCAAUCUAGGAUACACAAACAUGUAGAAAAAAAAUUUAGUAAUAAUGGAAUACUGACUGCUAUGGCGAUGUACUUACAGGAAUAUCUGAUUUUUGUUUUCAAAAACAGGAAUAAAUUUUAAUUGAAGUCA